Molecule: ribosomal RNA, 375 nt
Filed under: uncultured organism
Description: partial 16S ribosomal RNA
Rfam family: Bacterial small subunit ribosomal RNA
Source: RNAcentral
GUAGGGUGCAAGCGUUAUCCGGAAUCAUUGGGCGUAAAGAGCUCGUAGGCGGUUCAGCAAGUCGGCUGUGAAAUUCCGAGGGCUCAACCUCGGAACUGCAGUCGAUACUGUUGUGACUCGAGUCCGGUAGAGGAGAAUGGAAUUCCCGGUGUAGCGGUGAAAUGCGCAGAUAUCGGGAGGAACACCAGUAGCGAAGGCGGUUCUCUGGGCCGGCACUGACGCUGAGGAGCGAAAGCGUGGGUAGCAAACAGGAUUAGAUACCCUGGUAGUCCACGCCGUAAACGUUGGAUACUAGGUGUGGCGUUCCGACCAACGGUCGCCGUGCCGAAGCUAACGCAUUAAGUAUCCCGCCUGGGGAGUACGGCCGCAAGGCUA